Molecule: ribosomal RNA, 459 nt
Filed under: uncultured bacterium
Lineage: Bacteria
Description: bacterial SSU rRNA
Rfam family: Bacterial small subunit ribosomal RNA
Source: RNAcentral
UGGGGAAUUUUGGACAAUGGGGGCAACCCUGAUCCAGCAAUGCCGCGUGAGUGAAGAAGGCCUUCGGGUUGUAAAGCUCUUUUGUCAGGGAAGAAACGGUAGUAGCGAAUAACUAUUACUAAUGACGGUACCUGAAGAAUAGGCACCGGCUAACUACGUGCCAGCAGCCGCGGUAAUACGUAGGGUGCAAGCGUUAAUCGGAAUUACUGGGCGUAAAGCGUGCGCAGGCGGUUGUGUAAGUCAGAUGUGAAAUCCCCGGGCUCAACCUGGGAAUUGCAUUUGAGACUGCACGGCUAGAGUGUGUCAGAGGGGGGUAGAAUUCCACGUGUAGCAGUGAAAUGCGUAGAUAUGUGGAGGAAUACCGAUGGCGAAGGCAGCCCCCUGGGAUAACACUGACGCUCAUGCACGAAAGCGUGGGGAGCAAACAGGAUUAGAUACCCGCGUAGUCCCUGAGCGGGC